GACGUAGGGGGCCAGCGUUGUUCGGAAUUACUGGGUGUAAAGGGUUCGUAGGCGGUGUGGCAAGUCGGGAGUGAAAUCUCUGGGCUCAACUCAGAGACUGCUUCCGAAACUGCUGUGCUGGAGUGUGGGAGAGGCGCGUGGAAUUGCAGGUGUAGCGGUGAAAUGCGUAGAUAUCAGGAGGAACACCGGUGGCGAAGGCGGGUCUCUGGGCCGAUAUUGACGCUGAGGAGCGAAAGCGUGGGGAGCGAACAGG
RNAcentral lists this ribosomal RNA (253 nucleotides) under uncultured bacterium. RNAcentral's name for it is "partial 16S ribosomal RNA". It matches the Rfam family "Bacterial small subunit ribosomal RNA", at positions 524 to 776 of the family's 1533-position model. The record is from RNAcentral.